RNAcentral lists this small RNA (27 nucleotides) under Bombyx mori (domestic silkworm). RNAcentral describes it as "ovarian small RNA-32566". The record is from RNAcentral. Lineage: Eukaryota; Metazoa; Arthropoda; Insecta; Lepidoptera; Bombycidae.
UGAUAUUCUGGUUCCGGCCUCCACGUC